RNAcentral lists this ribosomal RNA (405 nucleotides) under uncultured bacterium. RNAcentral describes it as "partial 16S ribosomal RNA". It matches the Rfam family "Bacterial small subunit ribosomal RNA", at positions 29 to 526 of the family's 1533-position model. The record is from RNAcentral.
AUUGACGCUGGCGGCAGGCCUAACACAUGCAAGUCGAACGAGUGGCGGACGGGUGAGUAAUGUCUGGGAAACUGCCUGAUGGAGGGGGAUAACUACUGGAAACGGUAGCUAAUACCGCAUACCAUCGGAUGUGCCCAGAUGGGAUUAGCUAGUAGGUGGGGUAAAGGCUCACCUAGGCGACGAUCCGUAGCUGGUUUGAGAGGACGACCAGCCACACUGGGACUGAGACACGGCCCAGACUCCUACGGGAGGCAGCAGUGGGGAAUUUUGGACAAUGGGGGAAACCCUGAUCCAGCCAUCCCGCGUGGGGGAUGCAGGCUUUCGGGUUGUAAACCUCUUUCGCUAUCGAACGGGUAGGUGGAGAAGAAGCGCCGGCUAACUACGUGCUAGCAGCCGCGGUAAUUC